AGCUAGGCUGCAGAAAGCAGGAUUCCUGAGGCGACAGAUGGGAGCUUCUCAGGUCAUGACAGUGGGAGAGGAUGAGCCAGUGGCUUGUCGUCUUGGGAGAGCUCCCCAGCACCGUUAAGGAAGGCGUCGCGGAUCUCAGUCUUCUUGUUUAUAUGCUUGCUAAGCAAGCUGAUGGUGUGAGGUGAAAAUGGCUGACAGACCGCCAUGGAGGGCUGCUCACCACUCCAUCUACUAUGAGCUCAGAACAAAGGGCAUCACACAACGGGAAAUUGAACAGUCAUGUCUGAUACCAAUAAAGAUACUGCUUUAUCCUCGUCCCCAA
RNAcentral lists this long non-coding RNA (322 nucleotides) under Rattus norvegicus (Norway rat). RNAcentral describes it as "long non-coding RNA NONRATT012880". The record is from RNAcentral. Lineage: Eukaryota; Metazoa; Chordata; Mammalia; Rodentia; Muridae.